RNAcentral lists this unclassified non-coding RNA (332 nucleotides) under soil metagenome. RNAcentral's name for it is "partial contains 5.8S ribosomal RNA, internal transcribed spacer 2, and large subunit ribosomal RNA". The stretch from base 1 to 120 matches the Rfam family "5.8S ribosomal RNA", at positions 35 to 154 of the family's 154-position model. The record is from RNAcentral.
GAUGAAGAACGUAGCAAAAUGCGAUAAGUAAUGUGAAUUGCAGAAUUCAGUGAAUCAUCGAAUCUUUGAACGCACAUUGCGCCCGCCAGUAUUCUGGCGGGCAUGCCUGUUCGAGCGUCAUUUCAACCCUCAAGCACAGCUUGGUGUUGGGACUCGCGUUAAUUCGCGUUCCCCAAAUUGAUUGGCGGUCACGUCGAGCUUCCAUAGCGUAGUAGUAAAACCCUCGUUACUGGUAAUCGUCGCGGCCACGCCGUUAAACCCCAACUUCUGAAUGUUGACCUAGGAUCAGGUAGGAAUACCCGCUGAACUUAAGCAUAUCAAUAAGCGGAGGA